This 751-nucleotide ribosomal RNA is filed under the name uncultured Halomonas sp. Its description in RNAcentral is "bacterial SSU rRNA". It matches the Rfam family "Bacterial small subunit ribosomal RNA", at positions 28 to 776 of the family's 1533-position model. The record is from RNAcentral. Lineage: Bacteria; Pseudomonadati; Pseudomonadota; Gammaproteobacteria; Oceanospirillales; Halomonadaceae.
AUUGAACGCUGGCGGCAGGCCUAACACAUGCAAGUCGAGUGGUAACAGGGGUAGCUUGCUACCCGCUGACGAGCGGCGGACGGGUGAGUAAUGCAUAGGAAUCUGCCCGAUAGUGGGUGAUAACCUGGGGAAACCCAGGCUAAUACCGCAUACGUCCUACGGGAGAAAGGGGGCUCCGGCUCCCGCUAUCGGAUGAGCCUAUGUCGGAUUAGCUGGUUGGUGAGGUAACGGCUCACCAAGGCGACGAUCCGUAGCUGGUCUGAGAGGAUGAUCAGCCACAUCGGGACUGAGACACGGCCCGAACUCCUACGGGAGGCAGCAGUGGGGAAUAUUGGACAAUGGGGGGAACCCUGAUCCAGCCAUGCCGCGUGUGUGAAGAAGGCCCUCGGAUUGUAAAGCACUUUCAGUGAGGAAGAACGCCUGGUGGUUAAUACCCAUCAGGAAAGACAUCACUCACAGAAGAAGCACCGGCUAACUCCGUGCCAGCAGCCGCGGUAAUACGGAGGGUGCGAGCGUUAAUCGGAAUUACUGGGCGUAAAGCGCGCGUAGGUGGCUUGAUAAGCCGGUUGUGAAAGCCCCGGGCUCAACCUGGGAACGGCAUCCGGAACUGUCAAGCUAGAGUGCAGGAGAGGAAGGUAGAAUUCCCGGUGUAGCGGUGAAAUGCGUAGAGAUCGGGAGGAAUACCAGUGGCGAAGGCGGCCUUCUGGACUGACACUGACACUGAGGUGCGAAAGCGUGGGUAGCAAACAGG